CCCUUAGAUGUCCUGGGCCGCACGCGUGCUACACUGACGCAUACAGCGAGCACCUUCCAGUUCCGAGAGGCUACUGGUAAUCAUCAAUAUGCGUCGUGAUGGGGAUAGAUCUUUGGAAUUCUGGAUCUUGAACGAGGAAUGCCUAGUAAUCGCAGGUCAUUAGCCUGCGAUGAUUAAGUCCCUGCCCUUUGUACACACCGCCCGUCGCUACUACCGAUUUCGAGUGGUCAGGUGAAUCUUUCGGACUGUGGGCGCCCUUGAGGUGUUCGCGGAAAGUCAGGUAAAUCUUAUCACUUAGAGGAAGUAAAAGUCGUAACA
RNAcentral lists this ribosomal RNA (318 nucleotides) under uncultured eukaryote. RNAcentral describes it as "partial 18S ribosomal RNA". It matches the Rfam family "Eukaryotic small subunit ribosomal RNA", at positions 1470 to 1796 of the family's 1831-position model. The record is from RNAcentral.